AACGAACGCUGGCGGCAUGCCUAACACAUGCAAGUCGAACGAAACCUUCGGGCCUAGUGGCGCACGGCUGCGUAACGCGUGGGAACCUGCCCUUAGGUUCGGAAUAACUCCCCGAGAGGGGUGCUCAUACCGGAUAAUGUCUUCGGACCAAAGAUUUAUGGCCUUUGGGUGGGGCCGCGUCGGAUUCGCUAGUUGGUAGGGUAAAAGCCUACCAAGGCGACGAUCCCUAGCUGGUGUGGGAGGAGGAUCAGCCACACUGGGACUGAGACACGGCCCAGACUCCUACGGGAGGCAGCAGUGUGGAAUAUAGGACGAUGGGGGAUAGUGUGACACAGCAAUGCCGGGGGAGUGAGGAAGGCCGUAGGGAUGUAAAGCUCUUUUACCCGGGAUGAUAAUGACAGUACCGGGAGAAUAAGCGCCGGCUAACUACGUG
RNAcentral lists this ribosomal RNA (433 nucleotides) under uncultured bacterium. RNAcentral describes it as "partial 16S ribosomal RNA". It matches the Rfam family "Bacterial small subunit ribosomal RNA", at positions 29 to 507 of the family's 1533-position model. The record is from RNAcentral.